UCCCUGGUGUCUCAGGGGUAAAGAAUCUGCCUGCAAGGCAGGGGACCCAGGUUCAAUCCCUGGGUUGGGAA
This 71-nucleotide transfer RNA is filed under the name Bos taurus (domestic cattle). It matches the Rfam family "tRNA". Rfam says of the family: Transfer RNA (tRNA) molecules are approximately 80 nucleotides in length. Their secondary structure includes four short double-helical elements and three loops (D, anti-codon, and T loops). Further hydrogen bonds mediate the characteristic L-shaped molecular structure. tRNAs have two regions of fundamental functional importance: the anti-codon, which is responsible for specific mRNA codon recognition, and the 3' end, to which the tRNAs corresponding amino acid is attached (by aminoacyl-tRNA synthetases). tRNAs cope with the degeneracy of the genetic code in two manners: having more than one tRNA (with a specific anti-codon) for a particular amino acid; and 'wobble' base-pairing, i.e. permitting non-standard base-pairing at the 3rd anti-codon position. Lineage: Eukaryota; Metazoa; Chordata; Mammalia; Artiodactyla; Bovidae. RNAcentral also lists the same sequence under 2 other names. The record is from Rfam by way of RNAcentral.